RNAcentral lists this unclassified non-coding RNA (175 nucleotides) under uncultured Inocybe. Its description in RNAcentral is "sequence contains ITS2". Lineage: Eukaryota; Fungi; Basidiomycota; Agaricomycetes; Agaricales; Cortinariaceae. The record is from RNAcentral.
AAUUCUCUCAACCACACAAUAUGUUGUUGUGGCUUGGAUAUGGAGGUGUGCAGGCUUUUUUCAAGUUGAGCUCCUCUGAAAUAUAUAAGUAGUGGUCAGAGAAACUACAGAUGUGAUAAAUUAUCUACAUCUUAGUGUAUGCACUGCUUCCAACCAAUCCCCCCUUUUUUGACAU